GCCUUCUUAGCUCAGUGGUAGAGCGUUGGUCUCGUAACGAAGUGAAGACAACCAAAGGCCGAGAGUUCAAUCCUCUCAUGAGGCA
This 85-nucleotide transfer RNA is filed under the name Daphnia magna. It matches the Rfam family "tRNA". From Rfam's summary of the family: Transfer RNA (tRNA) molecules are approximately 80 nucleotides in length. The record is from Rfam by way of RNAcentral. Lineage: Eukaryota; Metazoa; Arthropoda; Branchiopoda; Diplostraca; Daphniidae.